RNAcentral lists this non-coding RNA (915 nucleotides) under Craugastor melanostictus. RNAcentral's name for it is "12S ribosomal RNA". It matches the Rfam family "Bacterial small subunit ribosomal RNA". Lineage: Eukaryota; Metazoa; Chordata; Amphibia; Anura; Craugastoridae. The record is from RNAcentral.
CACAAAGGCUUGGUCCCAACCUUAAAAUCAAUUUUUACCCAACUUACACAUGCAAGUAUCCGCGCCCCAGUGAGAACGCCCCUAUCCACGAUAAGGAGCUGCCAUCAGGCACAACAACCAGCCCAAGACGUCUAGCCCCGCCACACCCACAAGGGUCUUCAGCAGUGAUUAAUAUUAAACAUUAACGAAAGUUAGAUUUAGUUAGGGUUCCUAGAGCCGGCCAACAUGGUGCCAGCCGCCGCGGUUACACCAUAGACUCGAAUUGACCCUAUCGGCGUAAAGCGUGACUGAAUUUUUUCCCCCGCUAGAACUAAACUUAAACCGAGUUGUAAAAACCUUGUUUAAUGUAAACUCAAAAACGAAAGUUAUUCUAGGUAUUCUUGACUCACGACAGUUGGGGAACAAACUGGGAUUAGAUACCCCACUAUGCCCCACCAUAAACUUUUACUUACACUUAACCCGCCAGAGAACUACGAGUCGCACUUAAAACUCAAAGGACUUGUCGGUGCCCCAUACCACUAGAGGAGCCUGUCCUAUAAUCGAUGACCCCCGCUAAACCUCACCCCUUCUAGCUUUUCAGCCUGUAUACUUCCGUCAUCAACCCACCCCGUGAGCGAAAUCCAGUCGGUCCCCCGCCCAUACGCAUAAACGUCAGGUCAAAGUGCAGCAGAUCAAGGGGGAAGAGAUGGGCUACAUUCUCUAACUUAGAGCACACGGAAAGCCAUUAUGAAACCUGGCUGGAAGGCGGAUUUAGAAGUAAACUGGGAGUAGAGUGCCCUCUUAAAUCAGGAACUGGGGUGCGAACACACCGCCCGUCACCCUCCUCAACACAUAUUACAAGUAAUUAACUCUUCGAAACCUUAAAAGAGGAGGUAAGUCGUAACAUGGUAAGCGUACCGGAAGGUGCGCUUGGAA